UUAAAGAAAGCGUAAUAGCUCACUGGUCGAGUCGGCCUGCGCGGAAGAUGUAACGGGGCUAAACCAUGCACCGAAGCUGCGGCAGCGACACUAUGUGUUGUUGGGUAGGGGAGCGUUCUGUAAGCCUGCGAAGGUGUGCUGUGAGGCAUGCUGGAGGUAUCAGAAGUGCGAAUGCUGACAUAAGUAACGAUAAAGCGGGUGAAAAGCCCGCUCGCCGGAAGACCAAGGGUUCCUGUCCAACGUUAAUCGGGGCAGGGUGAGUCGACCCCUAAGGCGAGGCCGAAAGGCGUAGUCGAUGGGAAACAGGUUAAUAUUCCUGUACUUGGUGUUACUGCGAAGGGGGGGACGGAGAAGGCUAUGUUAGCCGGGCGACGGUUGUCCCGGUUUAAGCAUGUAGGCUGGUUAUCCAGGCAAAUCCGGAUAAUCAAGGCUGAGGUGUGAUGACGAGGCACUACGGUGCUGAAGUAACAAAUGCCCUGCUUCCAGGAAAAGCCUCUAAGCAUCAGGUAACAUCAAAUCGUACCCCAAACCGACACAGGUGGUCAGGUAGAGAAUACCAAGGCGCUUGAGAGAACUCGGGUGAAGGAACUAGGCAAAAUGGUGCCGUAACUUCGGGAGAAGGCACGCUGGUGUGUAGGUGAAGUCCCUGCGGAUGGAGCUGAGACCAGUCGAAGAUACCAGCUGGCUGCAACUGUUUAUUAAAAA
Molecule: ribosomal RNA, 705 nt
Filed under: Klebsiella pneumoniae
Lineage: Bacteria; Pseudomonadati; Pseudomonadota; Gammaproteobacteria; Enterobacterales; Enterobacteriaceae
Description: bacterial LSU rRNA
Rfam family: Bacterial large subunit ribosomal RNA
Source: RNAcentral